RNAcentral lists this transfer RNA (74 nucleotides) under Phocaeicola vulgatus. RNAcentral describes it as "tRNA-His". It matches the Rfam family "tRNA". Rfam says of the family: Transfer RNA (tRNA) molecules are approximately 80 nucleotides in length. Their secondary structure includes four short double-helical elements and three loops (D, anti-codon, and T loops). The record is from RNAcentral. Lineage: Bacteria; Pseudomonadati; Bacteroidota; Bacteroidia; Bacteroidales; Bacteroidaceae.
GUGACUAUAGUUCAGCCGGUUAGAGCGUCAGAUUGUGGUUCUGAAUGUCGUGGGUUCGAAUCCCACUAGUCACC